This is a non-coding RNA of Glarea lozoyensis 74030, 85 nucleotides long. NCBI's taxonomy places the organism in Eukaryota, Fungi, Ascomycota, Leotiomycetes, Helotiales, Helotiaceae. The record is from Rfam.
AGGAAACUUCCGUAAUUGGUAAGACGGGUUGAGCUGUAAACUCAAUAGUAAUAUACUUUUAGGAGUUCGAAUCUCUUGUUUCCUA